RNAcentral lists this ribosomal RNA (1508 nucleotides) under metagenome. RNAcentral's name for it is "bacterial LSU rRNA". It matches the Rfam family "Bacterial large subunit ribosomal RNA", at positions 1433 to 2913 of the family's 2925-position model. The record is from RNAcentral.
CUGUUGGGAGCGUAGCCGUAGUAGGUCAGCGCAGGGGUGACACGGAAUGGGAGCCGGCCGCGGAGGUGGUUUUCCGUGGUCAAGCACGCAGCCAGUCAUGUAGGCAAAUCCGCAUGGCGCGCAUGGCGAGGUGUGAUGAUGGGAGCCUUUUGGCUCGAUAUCCGGUUGUCCAGGCCGUCGAGAAAAGCCUCGGCGUGAGGGCCAUGGCCGCCCGUACCCCAAACCGACACUGGUGGUCAGGUAGAGAAUACCAAGGCGAUCGAGCGAAUCCUGGUCAAGGAACUCGGCAAAUCACUCCCGUGCCUUCGGUAUAAGGGAGACCCACUGGGGUGAAGGACCUUGCGUCCGGAGCUUUGGUGGGUGGCACAGACCAGGGGGUAGCGACUGUUUACCAAAAACACAGGUGCAUGCGAAGGCGAAAGCCGCUGUAUAUGCACUGACGCCUGCCCGGUGCCGGAAGGUUAAGAGGAUCCGUCAGUCCUUCGGGAUGAAGCGGUGAAUUCAAGCCCCGGUAAACGGCGUUGGUAACAAUAACCAUCCUAAGGUAGCGAAAUUCCUUGUCGGGUAAGUUCCGACCUGCACGAAUGGCGUAACGACUUCCCCACUGUCUCGACCAGGAGCUCGGCGAAAUUGCAGUACGAGUAAAGAUGCUCGUUAAGCGCAGAAGGACGAAAAGACCCCGGGACCUUUACUAUACCUUGGUAUUGGCGUUAGGCGCGGAUUGUGUAGCAUAGGCGGGAGGCUUCGAAGCGUGGGCGCCAGCUCAUGUGGAGCCGCAAGGUGAAAUACCGCUCUGUUCUCGUUUGACGUCUAACCUCGACAAGUCAUCCUUGUCAGGGACAGUGCCUGGCGGGUAGUUCAACUGGGGCGGUUGCCUCCCUAAGAGUAACGGAGGCGCUCAAAGGUCCGCUCAGCCCGGUUGGCAAUCGGGUGUCGAGUGUAAUCGCACAAGCGGGCUUGACUGCGAGGACGACGGUCCGAGCAGGGACGAAAGUCGGAGAUAGUGAUCCGGUGCCGGCGCACGGGCGCGGCAUCGCUCAACGGAUAAAAGGUACCCCGGGGAUAACAGGCUGAUCAUUCCCAAGAGUCCAUAUCGACGGGAUGGUUUGGCACCUCGAUGUCGGCUCGUCGCAUCCUGGGGCUGGAGCAGGUCCCAAGGGUUCGGCUGUUCGCCGAUUAAAGCGGCACGCGAGCUGGGUUCAGAACGUCGUGAGACAGUUUGGUCUCUAUCCUCUGCGCUCGUUGGAAUCCUGAGGAGGCCUGCCCAUAGUACGAGAGGACCUGGGUGGACGAACCUCUGGUAUGCCGGUUGUCGCGCCAGCGGCACGGCCGGUUGGCUACGUUCGGGAGGGAUAACCGCUGAAAGCAUCUAAGCGGGAAGCCUGCUCCAAGAUUAGGAUUCCAUGGAUCUUCGAGAUCCUGUAGCCCGCAUGUUGAACACGUGUUUGAUAGGCCGGAGGUGGAAGCCCCGUGAGGGGUGGAGCCGACCGGUACUAACGGGCGAUGGC